AGAAACAGAAAGAGAGACUACACUAAGCAGUAAACAAACAAGGAAGCCAAACAUAGUAAUCAAGCUAACGACUGUUGGUUUCACUAAUGUUGCAAUUUCACAUUCUGACUUAGUGGUCACUUACAUUUAAAUGUAUUCUGUUAAGUCUUGAUACUAAAUAAUUUCAUAUACAGUGUUUAGCUAUCCUGCUUUUUAGUUAAAGUAACUUAAACAAUUGCGUAUACAGUGCUCAGCU
Molecule: long non-coding RNA, 235 nt
Organism: Rosa chinensis
Lineage: Eukaryota; Viridiplantae; Streptophyta; Magnoliopsida; Rosales; Rosaceae
Exons: 3
Source: RefSeq, a predicted model, not a curated record